UACAGAGGUCCCGAGCGUUGUUCGGAUUCAUUGGGCGUAAAGGGUGCGUAGGCGGCUUGCUAAGUUUGAUGUGAAAUCCUGGGGCUCAACCCUGGGACUGCAUUGAAUACUGGCAGGCUAGAGUACUGGAGAGGAAACUGGAAUUUACGGUGUAGCAGUGAAAUGCGUAGAGAUCGUAAGGAAGACCAGUGGCGAAGGCGAGUUUCUGGACAGUUACUGACGCUGAGGCACGAAGGCCAGGGGAGCAAACGGG
This 253-nucleotide ribosomal RNA is filed under the name uncultured bacterium. Its description in RNAcentral is "partial 16S ribosomal RNA". It matches the Rfam family "Bacterial small subunit ribosomal RNA", at positions 524 to 776 of the family's 1533-position model. The record is from RNAcentral.